AUUAUUUUCAGAUUCCAGAGUCUAACUUUGUGUCUCUAUACCUCUAGCUCCUCUUCUCCACAGGUUUUUGUUCAACUCAACUGGGAAUCAGACUGUUCCACUCUGCUUUGACUUCAGUGGAGCUAUAAUCCUUAAACUAUUUCACCACCCCAGCAGAGACCUGUCUGUUAAUGGUGAGCUAGAUUCAAUUGCAAACGGAGGUUUCAGCAAAAUUUUUAUUCACCUCAAAACUCACCAGCAUGUUGAGGUUGACGCUGAAUCACAGA
This is a long non-coding RNA of Oreochromis niloticus (Nile tilapia), 266 nucleotides long. RefSeq lists it as uncharacterized. NCBI's taxonomy places the organism in Eukaryota, Metazoa, Chordata, Actinopteri, Cichliformes, Cichlidae. The transcript is spliced from 2 exons. The record is from RefSeq and is a predicted model, not a curated record.